RNAcentral lists this ribosomal RNA (497 nucleotides) under uncultured bacterium. RNAcentral's name for it is "partial 16S ribosomal RNA". It matches the Rfam family "Bacterial small subunit ribosomal RNA", at positions 28 to 507 of the family's 1533-position model. The record is from RNAcentral.
GAUGAACGCUGGCGGCGUGCCUAAUACAUGCAAGUCGAGCGAACAGACGAGGAGCUUGCUCCUUCGACGUUAGCGGCGGACGGGCGAGUAACACGUAGGUAACCUACCUAUAAGACUGGGAUAACUUCGGGAAACCGGAGCUAAUACCGGAUAAUAUUUCGAACCGCAUGGUUCGAUAGUGAAAGAUGGCUUUGCUAUCACUUAUAGAUGGACCUGCGCCGUAUUAGCUAGUUGAUAAGGUAACGGCUUACCAAGGCAACGAUACGUAGCCGACCUGAGAGGGUGAUCGGCCACACUGGAACUGAGACACGGUCCAGACUCCUACGGGAGGCAGCAGUAGGGAAUCUUCCGCAAUGGGCGAAAGCCUGACGGAGCAACGCCGCGUGAGUGAUGAAGGUCUUCGGAUCGUAAAACUCUGUUAUUAGGGAAGAACAAACGUGUAAGUAACUGUGCACGUCUUGACGGUACCUAAUCAGAAAGCCACGGCUAACUACGUG